Cladorrhinum sp. PSN259 is the source of this 90-nucleotide non-coding RNA. The record is from the annotation of a GenBank genome assembly. NCBI's taxonomy places the organism in Eukaryota, Fungi, Ascomycota, Sordariomycetes, Sordariales, Podosporaceae.
UCUUCCGUAGUAUAGUGGUUAGUAUAUGAGCUUGUCAAAAAUUCCAAGUAAACAACGCUCGGGACCCGGGUUCAAUUCCCGGCGGGAGAG